RNAcentral lists this ribosomal RNA (776 nucleotides) under Halobacillus sp. G6-13A. RNAcentral describes it as "bacterial SSU rRNA". It matches the Rfam family "Bacterial small subunit ribosomal RNA", at positions 51 to 818 of the family's 1533-position model. The record is from RNAcentral. Lineage: Bacteria; Bacillati; Bacillota; Bacilli; Caryophanales; Bacillaceae.
CUGGGCAAGCGAGCGGUACCCCUUCGGGGGUGAAGCUCGUGGAACGAGCGGCGGACGGGUGAGUAACACGUGGGCAACCUGCCUGUAAGACCGGAAUAACCCCGGGAAACCGGGGCUAAUGCCGGGUAACACUUUCCUCCGCAUGGAGGAGAGUUGAAAGAUGGCUUCUAGCUAUCACUUACAGAUGGGCCCGCGGCGCAUUAGCUAGUUGGUGAGGUAACGGCUCACCAAGGCGACGAUGCGUAGCCGACCUGAGAGGGUGAUCGGCCACACUGGGACUGAGACACGGCCCAGACUCCUACGGGAGGCAGCAGUAGGGAAUCUUCCGCAAUGGACGAAAGUCUGACGGAGCAACGCCGCGUGAACGAUGAAGGUCUUCGGAUCGUAAAGUUCUGUUGUUAGGGAAGAACAAGUACCGUGCGAAUAGAGCGGUACCUUGACGGUACCUAACGAGGAAGCCCCGGCUAACUACGUGCCAGCAGCCGCGGUAAUACGUAGGGGGCAAGCGUUGUCCGGAAUUAUUGGGCGUAAAGCGCGCGCAGGCGGUUUCUUAAGUCUGAUGUGAAAGCCCACGGCUCAACCGUGGAGGGUCAUUGGAAACUGGGGAACUUGAGGACAGAAGAGGAGAGUGGAAUUCCACGUGUAGCGGUGAAAUGCGUAAUUUUUGAGGAACGUGGAAGGAUUUGUUUGUUUACUAGUAAUGUUAAAAGAUUAAUACUGUUCCAUCAAAAUAUUAUGUUUGGGUUCCCAUUAAUAAUUAACCCGGAUGGGGAGAA